Arabidopsis thaliana (thale cress) is the source of this 283-nucleotide RNA transcript. RefSeq lists it as uncharacterized. The transcript has a single exon. Lineage: Eukaryota; Viridiplantae; Streptophyta; Magnoliopsida; Brassicales; Brassicaceae. The record is from RefSeq.
AGAGCAGAAGGAGUAAUUAAUGAGAGAAAGAAGAUGGCAGAGAAUACGAACAAAGAGGCAUUAAAUGCUAUUGUACUCUCGCUCUUUCUCUUUUCCCUAAUUACAAUGCUACCCCUACCCUAUUUAUUUAUGCACUUUCCUCUUAAUUGGUUUAUUUGGGAAUUGUUGCAGAUUAAACUACUGCAAAAGCUCGUUAAGGACCAGAAUUUAUAUAUUAGUAGUAGUUUGUAUAUGUAAACAUAAUACAAAUUAAAGUUUGACAAUUAUACGUGUUUCAAUUGUA